CUCCUAAGGGAGGCAGCAGUGGGGAAUAAUGCACAAAGGGGGAAACCCAGAUGCAGCGACGCCGCGAGGAGGAAGAAGGUCUUCGGAUUGUAAACUCCUGUUGUAGAGGAAGAUAAUGACGGUACUCAACAAGGAAGUGAAGGCUAACUACGUGCCAGCAGCCGCGGUAAAACGUAGGUCACAAGCGUUGUCCGGAAUUACUGGGUGUAAAGGGAGCGCAGGAGUGAAGACAAGUUGGAAGUGAAAUCUAUGGGCUCAACCCAUAAACUGCUUUCAAAACUGUUUUUCUUGAGUUGUGCAGAGGUAGGCGGAAUUCCCGGUGUAGCGGUGGAAUGACGUAGAUAUCGGGAGGUACACCAGUUGCGAAGGCGGCCUACUGGGCACCAACUGACGCUGAGGCUCGAAAGUGUGGGUAGCAAACAGGAUUAGAUACCCUGGUAGUCCACACCGUAAACGAUGAUUACUAGGUGUUGGAGGAUUGACCCCUUCAGUGCCGCAGUUAACACAAUAAGUAAUCCACCUGGGGAGAACGACCGCAAGGUUGAAACUCAAAGGAAUUGACGGGGGCCCGCUCAAGCAGUGGAGUAUGUGGUUUAAUUCGACGCAACGCGAAGAACCUUACCAAGUCUUGACAUCCUGCGACGCGCAUAGAAAUAUGUGUUUCUUCGGGACGCAGAGACAGGUGGUGCAUGGUUGUCGUCAGCUCGUGUCGUGAGAUGUUGGGUUAAGUCCCGCAACGAGCGCAACCCUUAUGGUCAGUUACAACGCAAGAGGACUCUGGCCAGACUGCCGUUGACAAAACGGAGGAAGGUGGGGAUGACGUCAAAUCAUCAUGCCCUUUAUGACUUGGGCAACACACGAACUACAAUGGCGUUAAACAAAGAGAAGCAAGACCGCGAGGUGGAGCAAAACUCAGAAACAACGUCCCAGUUCGGACUGCAGGCUGCAACUCGCCUGCAUGAAGUCGGAAUUGCUAGUAAUCGCAGAUCAGCAUGCUGCGGUGAAUACGUUCCCGGGCCUUGUACACACCGC
This 1032-nucleotide ribosomal RNA is filed under the name uncultured bacterium. Its description in RNAcentral is "bacterial SSU rRNA". It matches the Rfam family "Bacterial small subunit ribosomal RNA", at positions 336 to 1393 of the family's 1533-position model. The record is from RNAcentral.